GACAGAGGUGGCGAGCGUUGUUCGGAAUCACUGGGCUUAAAGGGCGAGUAGGCGGUGGAGCAAGUCUGAGGUGGAAUCCUACGGCUUAACCGUAGAACUGCCUUAGAAACUGUUUUACUUGAGUCAAUGAGGGGAGGGCGGAAUUCCUGGUGUAGCGGUGAAAUGCGUAGAUAUCAGGAGGAAGGCCUGUGGCGAAGGCGGCCCUCUGGCAUUGUACUGACGCUGAGGCGCGAAAGCGUGGGGAGCAAAC
Molecule: ribosomal RNA, 250 nt
Filed under: uncultured bacterium
Lineage: Bacteria
Description: partial 16S ribosomal RNA
Rfam family: Bacterial small subunit ribosomal RNA
Source: RNAcentral